AGGGUAUUCAGGGACAAGAUGAUGACAACGCUGUGGUCUUUAUGUCACAUACACGGUGUUCUUGGGUCUCUUUAGAAAAGGAGAUGACCCCUUUUCUAACAGAAUGGAAAGUCCUGUUGUCCUUUCACAUAUCACCCACAGUCAGCGACAGAGGCUGUCCCCAACGCCAGGCCUUCAGAUCCCUUUCUCAGAAGCUUUAUCUCUCCUGCCAGUUGGGGGACUGUGGCUGGUUUUCUCCAUGAGACCUAUUCUGUAUUAAACAGGAAAGCACAAACAAGCACCAAUACCACUGCCCAGAACAGAGAAAAUUAUUUGAAUGCUUCCUGUUACAAUAGUGGCCACCACAGAGGAGUAAUCUUCAGUUUAUGAAAACUUUUUUCUGAGUCCAAGAGUGUGGCAAUCUGUGAGGUUUUCAUCCUGACUUUGUCUUUCCACCCUUUGCAUAUCAUCCUGGGACGGUAGGGACAUGUACUUCUGUUGUUUCCCAAUCUCACCACCAAGGGGCGCUCGCGAUGAAACAGUUCUGUCCUGGGAUGUACCACUGAAGUGUAGCGGUGGGACCACCCACUCUGGAAGGUACCAUUACGAGAGUGAGUGUGAAAAAACAGAGGGUGCUCUGACACUGCGUCGGGCAUCGACCACAGUUCCCAGCGGAGGCACUCAUAGCGCCAGUGGGUCCAACGGCAUUCGCUCCACUUCGUCUUCCCACUGCAUUUGAAUUAGAGUGGACACCGAUAUUAAGCUGCAACUUUGUCUCUUUUCCAACUCCACCCCUUCGUUUCUACAUGGUCUCAACGAACGUGGGGAUGGGUACAGAGCGACAGAUUGGCUGCAGCUUCGAGGGUACGGCGACCGGGAGAUUGCCUGAAUUAGCUCUUCCGGGGCGCGAGUACACGCGGAAGUCCGGCUACUCCCGCCCUCCUUCGUCUCCUGCUCAGUUCCCAUUGGCUGCCUGUCUUAGACAGGCACUGAGGUCGCGGAGCUGGAACUCUGGGCGAGAGGCGUGUGUAUACCAGUGCGCCUGCGUUCGCUUUCGCGGCUUUUCAGAGUGUGCACUUUUUCUCCGAGUUUUACCGCUUUUCCCGAAGGGGGUGAAUCGCUGCCUUGAUGUCCGAUUGGGCCUGUCCCUCAAAGGCUGAAUUUAUCAUCCGUUGAUUUUCACUGGUUUCAGGAUCAAAAGGGGUGAAAACCCAGAAGGCCUCACACAGCCUUUCGUAGAAAUCGGCCAGGCUUUCAUCUGGAUCAUGUAGCACCUUAGUGGUCUUAGCCAUGUUAGCAGGCUUCUUAGCCCUGCCUUUUACACUUUGUAGGAGAGAGGGCCUGUGGAUAUCUCUCCAACUGGUUUCUCCCCGCCUCUGCAUUGAGGUGCCAGCAAGUCUCUUCCUCUGGGAAGUUCUCCCAAGCCCAGUUCUCCACAUCUAAUUGGCCGCCUGGAGCAUUGGUCUUGAGCCAUUUUCUAGCCUUUGUCAUGACUCAUCCCCAUUCCUCUGUAUUGAAUAGGGUGAGGAGAUGCUGCAGGCAGUCUCCCCAGGUGGGGCGGUGGGUCUGGAAGAUGGAUUCUAAGAGACCAAUCACCGCUUGGGGCUUUUCAGAGUAUGAGGGGGUGUGCUGUUUCCAGUUAAGGAGAUCAGUCAUGGAAAAAGGCUGGUAGUCAAAAAUGGAUCAACAGAGCAGAAACUGUGAGCUUGUGUAUGUCUCUUGAUCUAAUUGUAGAUUUGUGGAACCACUGUCCGGAGAUGUCACUGGCCAUCCUUUCCUCGUUCCUGUUUUAGACAGGGGCGCCACAGAGAUACUCUGACCAGGCUCCCCGAGCCUAUGGAUGCCUCGUGCCUCCUCUUCUUGUUGCUCCAAGUCUCAUGUUCUGUCACCUUCCUCUCUGCGUCUGAUGUGAGCCAGGCACAUGCACACACACAGAAAGACACGCAAACACAGGCGACAUAAGCAUACCUGUGUAAACACACACAAGGAAGGCACAGAGACACAAACAGGGAACACAGGUGUUCCGGUAGCUGAGGACGCCUGUGUCCAGCAAUAUAGGAGACUGGCGCUGUGUCCUGCCCUUUUGGGAUCCCUGUCCAUUUCUUCCCCAAGCUGUUCAGUAUUAUCACCAGCCAGCCUUAAGUCGUCUCUGACUUUGUGGUGGUGAUGAGAGGCCAGUCAGUGGAUGUGGAAAUUCACAGAAGACCCCAAAGUCAGCACAAAAGUACCAAGCGACAGUGGAGAGAAACCCAUUCCAACUGGUGGUGCUUUCCAGGAGGAAGGUCUGGACUUAAGGGCCCAGGGGAAUCUCAAACUCAGUGAGCAGCAGGAGGCCUGGGGGUGGCUUAACCUGGGGAAUGAUGCUUCUGACUAAGGUGCUAGAUUCACCCUGCCUCUAUCAGAAUCACCUAGGAUUCUCAUCUUGUAAUCACAGCUUCUUUGAGUGAGGCCUGGACACAUGAAGUCCCCAAGCCUCCAGUCUCAGCCUGUCACUUGCUACCAGUAUGACCUGAAUCCAAGCUCCACAUCCAACCUGCAUGAGCCUAAGCAUUCCCAUUUGGAAAAGGAGAGUGUCCCAGCCUCUAUGUGGCUGUCCCUUUAAAGCCCAACUUUGAUUCCCUCACAACCUGUGUUUCUGUCAGUAACCUCUCAUUGCAGGAUCUACCUCCUUGGGAAGUACUGCAGGAGGUCGAGUCACAGGACUUUGCUGAUUAUCUGCUGGAGACAUGAACAAGGUCAGCAUGGGGCUCACCAGGACCUGAACCCUUCGUGAACAGCGAAAAAUUCCAACACAAAUCGCCAAUUCUGCGAAGGCUUAGAGCAACCCCAUCUCAGCAAUCCUGUGUGAUCCUGGGCUAUUGUGAUCCAAUAACCAGCUGAGGAAUUUAAAGCUGCUGGUUUCCAGCCUGCAGCUUGGAGCUCCCCAUUUAUAAACCCAGAAGCAGUGGGCUGGAGUGGAAUGACAGGGCAUAUACCCUGGAGGAAACAGGCGAGGCAGGGAAGGAUCGCACAGGAGGAGCAUCCACUCCCUUCCCCACCCACCCACACCACCCUGGGAGACAGGUUGUAUCAGUGAUAUUAAGGUAGUACUCCUUAACGAUCAGUGUGUUCCUAAAGUAGGGUUUAUUCCAAAAAGCAACUUAGCAGCGUGCAGCGGGACCAGGGAUGCCUCAGUUCCUGCACCUGCCAAGUUUCUGGAGUCCGUAGUUUGCCUGCAGGGCAGGCAUCAACAGCUUCUGCUUCUCCACUCCAAGUGCUCACACCACAUAAGAUGAUCCCCCACUUCCCUCCCCAGCCCCCCUACCCACCUGUCCUCAUUCUCCCUCACUGACCUUCAAAUCAAUCAUGUAGCUAAGUAAGACUUCAUCUUGUUCACUGAUCAUGACGUAUAGUUGGCGGUUGUUCACAAUCCACUGCAGGUCAAGGAUCCAGUCAUGCCACAUGCCGGGCCAGGUAGAUCCAGAAGCAACAGGGCUAGUCUGGGAAGAAACAAGUGAGAGGGUAAGAGGCAGGGAGGCUAGGGGCCCCGAAUGGAGGAAAUAGGCUGCAAGUGUCAGACAUUUUUCUCUCUCUCUUAAGGAGCAGGAGGAAACAAACUACAAGUGUCAGAUUUUUUCUGUAUAGAAAAUUAAAAGGUUUCUUUUAAAAUUCUGUGUUGCCAUGAUGACACCUGUUUCCACCUGAACUUAACUUUUCUCAAACCUUGAGCUAACCUCUAUUUUUCUUAUGGAAAUGUUUUUCUUAAGCUAUGUUAAUGAACUGUGUAUUUACACUUGACUCUGUCUUCAUGUUUGUUCCACCUAAGGCUCAGAAGGGUGAAUGCCUCAACAAACCAGUAUGUUUUACUCAUACAAUUUUUCUCCUAAUCUGUGUUAAUAAAACUAUGCAUUUGCUUGGAAACCUGCCUUUCUUCAAGAUUCAUGUCAAUUGUUUUAUGGCCCAGGAUGACUCACCUUGUGCCAGUGUUAUCUCAAGAUACAUGUUGUGGGUGAGGGGCCUGGUGCCACUCUCUGUGUAUUGAGACAUUUCCUUUGUCUAAUUAGCAGCCUGCUAUUCGGUAUAUAACUUCCUGCUAAAGACUAGCAGGGGGCACUCUUUCUGCCCUCUUCUGAUAUCUAUGUCAGAAUCUUACUCUAUCUCUUUUGUACUUUAAUAAAACUUGAUUACACAAAAGCUCUGAGCAAACAAGCCUUGUCACUGGCCCCGGAUUGAAUUCCUUUCCUCCCCAGGCCAAGAAUCCCAGCGUCUUUCACGGCUGAGCAACA
Long non-coding RNA from Capra hircus (goat), 4244 nucleotides. NCBI's taxonomy places the organism in Eukaryota, Metazoa, Chordata, Mammalia, Artiodactyla, Bovidae. The record is from Ensembl.